Camelina sativa (false flax) is the source of this 3242-nucleotide RNA transcript. It is a transcript of the gene named disease resistance protein RPP2A-like, with no coding region annotated. NCBI's taxonomy places the organism in Eukaryota, Viridiplantae, Streptophyta, Magnoliopsida, Brassicales, Brassicaceae. The record is from RefSeq and is a predicted model, not a curated record.
CGUGGAGGAACACAAAACUGGCCUCACCACAAAUAUCUUCUUGUUACUUGGUCUUCUUCACCGAUUAAAUUACAGGCAUAACUAAAAAUAAUUUUAUACAGAAGAAAAGAUGGGAGAGAGAGAGGAGGUGAAACUGUUGGGAACAUGGUACAGUCCGGUCGUGUUAAGAGCAAAGAUAGCUCUUCGUCUCAAAUCGGUUGAUUAUGAUUACGUUGAAGAAGAUUUGUUCGGAUCCAAGAGUGAGCUUCUUCUCAAAUCUAACCCGGUUUACCAGAAAGUCCCGGUUCUCAUCCACAACAGUAAACCGGUUUGUGAGUCUCUUAACAUCGUUGAAUACAUCGAUGAGACGUGGAAAUCAUCUGGACCGUCCAUUCUUCCUUCUCAUCCUCAUGAUCGAGCUCUCGCUCGCUUCUGGUCUGCCUUCGUUGAUGACAAGUGGUUUCCAGUUUUCAUAGCGGCGAGUGUUGGAAACACAAAAGUCUUUGAUUGUCCUUGAUGAUAUAUGGAGAGAAGGAGAUUGGGGCAUGAUUAAACCAAUUUUUCCACGGAACAAAGGUUGGAAGGUACUACUUAUAUCUCGUAACGAGAGUAUUGCAUUACGAGCAGAUCCAACAUGUUUUACCUUUAAACUAAAUUUUCUAACUCCCGAAGAAAGUUGGACAAUUUUCCAAAGGAUAGUGUUUCCCACAGAAAAUAUUACCAAACAUAAAGCUGAUCAAGAAAUGGAAGAGAUGGGUAAGAAGAUGAUCGAACAUUGUGGAGGUCUACCUUUGGCUGUUAAGGUAUUAGGCGGGUUGUUAGCUGCUCAACACACAUUAAGUGAGUGGAAAAGGAUAUAUGAGAAUCUCACAUCUCACAUCGUAGGAGGGGCUAGCUUCAGUGAUAACAAUAUCAGUUCAGUUUACCAAAUAUUGUCUCUGAGCUAUGAAGAGCUGCCUAUUUAUCUGAAGCACUGCUUCCUCUACCUAGCAGGUGUUCCAGAAAAUGAUGCAAUAGAUGUGAGAGAAUUGUCCUAUUACUGGGCCGCAGAAGGAAUACCAAAGUCGAGGUAUUAUGAUGGAGAGACCAUUCGAGAGCUCGCUGAUGGAUACAUAGAAGAAUUGGUGAACAGAAACAUGGUAAUUUCUAAACGAGACGUAACGACAUCAAGAUUUGAAACGUGUCAUUUGCAUGAUAUGAUGAGAGAAGUUAAUCUAUUUAAAGCUGGAGAAGAGAAUUUCCUACAAAAUGUUAAUGCAAGUACCGUUACCUCAAGUAGUGCAAACUCUCGGUAUCUAAGUGAACCUCGCAGACUCGUCAUACAUUCUUGUGACGAUACAUAUCUUAUAAAGAAUCCAAAAAUUAGAUCUCUCUCGUUCAGAGGGUCAAAGUUUAUGGCAUCAGGUUUAUACUUUACAAAGGUACAGUUGAUGAGGGUUUUAGAUCUCUCUGGUGCAAGGUUUGAGGGAGGGAAGUUACCUUCUAACAUUGGAAAGCUCAUCCAUUUACGGUACUUGAGUUUACACAGUGCACAAGUAUCUCAUCUACCUUCUUCUAUGCAGAAUCUGAAGUUGCUCCUCUAUUUGAAUCUAAAUGUGGAAGCAGGGCCUCCACUUGAUGUGCCUAAUAUCUUGAAUGAGAUGCAAGAACUGAGGUACCCUUGGUUACCGUAUAAAAUACGUGAUGAGAAAAAGUUGGAAUUAGGUAAUCUAAUCAACUUGGAGACAUUGGAGUAUUUUUCAACAAAGCAUAGCAGCGUUGGGGAUCUUCACUGUUUGACAAGGCUUGAGACUCUAUCAGUCUUAUUCAACGGCGAAGGGUGCACUAAAGAAACUCUAUGUUCAUCUCUUAAUGGGAUGUGACACUUGGAAAAUCUUACCAUUGAUGGUUACACGAAUGAUGAAGAAGAAAUCGUAUUGAAAUGCGUCCAUCUCAAAAAGCUGAAUUUGACUCUAUAUAUGCCAAGGUUACGUGAUGUGCAAAGUUUUCCUUCUGUCCUUACAAGCAUAAAUCUGAAGAAUUGUUGUCUGAAGGAGGAUCCAAUGCCUAUUCUAGAGAAGCUACAUACUUCACUUAUAUGAUGUCAAAUUAUCAUUUAAAUCUUUUUGUGGUAAGAGAAUGGUUUGCUUGAGCGGGGGGUUUCCUCAAUUGCAUACGCUUUCAAUAUUGGGACUAUUGGAAUGGGAAGAGUGGGUCGUAGAAGAAGGCUCCAUGCCCCUGCUUCAUACUAUGACUAUUAGUGACUGUAAGAAACUAAAGGUAUUUCCUGAUGGGUUCAGAUUUAGCUACAGUUUGAAGGAUGUUGUUAUGGACAAUGAAUGGAAGGAGAGAUUGUCCAAAGGAGGAGAAGAUUAUUACAAAUUCCAACACAUCCCUUUUGUUAAAUUCUCUGGCGUAUGUACUAUGGAAACUCUAUCUUCGUCUCUAGGUGAUCACAUGGCCAGUACAAGUGAAGUUCUUCCUAUCCGCAGCCAUGAUGUUGACGAAUCUGAUUCUACUAAAGAGAUGAUGACUCAAGAAUCAGAAUGCAUAUUAGUCUUUUCAUGCAAUGACAACCAUGAUGUGGAAGAAUCACAUUACAUGGAAGCCAUCUUAAAAGAGUUGCAAGAGCGGGGGGUCACACCUUUGACAUGUAAUCUAUCUGGUAGAGAGAGUUUGAACACAAAUAUGCUAGAAAGAUGUAGUGUUGGUAUUAUGGUACUUUCAACUAGUUACGUUUGUUCUACACAGUCCAUGGAUCAUCUUGUGGCAAUCAUGGAGCACUGGAAAGAGAAAAACCUUGUGAUUAUUCCUAUAUAUUUCAAAGUAACACGUCAAGACAUUUUUGGAUUGAAAGGCAAGUCUGAAGCAGCGUUUCUGCACCUUCAGAGUUCUGUCCAGGAAGACAGAGUUCAGAAAUGGAAGAUGGCUCUGGCUGAAAUAGCAUCCAUAGAUGGACAUGAAUGGACAAAAGGGACUCAGGUUGUGCUUGCGGAGGAAGUUGUAAGAAACGCAUGCUUAAGGUUAUAUUUGAAAAAUAGCAAGAAUCUGGUCAGAAUCUUAGCAUUGUUAAAUCAGUCCCAACCUUCAGAUGCAGACAUUGUGGGGAUUUGGGGUAUGGCAGGAAUAGGUAAGACAUCUAUUGCUAGAGAAAUUUUUGGAACUCUAGCACCAAAAUAUGAUUUGUGUUACUUCUACAAGACUUUGAUCUAAUCAGUGUCGUGCCCAGGUUUAUGGGGGCUUAAGGCAAACUUGAAAUCGGGGGCUAAUUUUUUUUUUUUUUA